Non-coding RNA from Bombyx mori (domestic silkworm), 84 nucleotides. Lineage: Eukaryota; Metazoa; Arthropoda; Insecta; Lepidoptera; Bombycidae. The record is from Rfam.
UUAACUCAAAUUUGUAUGGAGUUGGAACGUUUGCCUACGUUUGCCGCUAGGAGCGCUGUUCCAACUGCGUACAAAUUUAAGUUA